This 668-nucleotide ribosomal RNA is filed under the name uncultured Streptococcus sp. RNAcentral's name for it is "bacterial SSU rRNA". It matches the Rfam family "Bacterial small subunit ribosomal RNA", at positions 28 to 708 of the family's 1533-position model. Lineage: Bacteria; Bacillati; Bacillota; Bacilli; Lactobacillales; Streptococcaceae. The record is from RNAcentral.
GAUGAACGCUGGCGGCGUGCCUAAUACAUGCAAGUCGAACGCUGGAAAUCUAGCUUGCUAGAUUGAAGGAGUGGCGAACGGGUGAGUAAUACAUAAGCAACCUACCCACGAAGAUUGGGAUAAUCUCUGGAAACGGGGACUAAUACCGGAUAGGUAAUCGGAAGGCAUCUUCUGAUUAUUAAAGGUUAAAAACACUGGUGGAUGGGCUUAUGGCGCAUUAGUUAGUUGGUGAGGUAACGGCCCACCAAGGCGACGAUCGGUAGCCGGCCUGAGAGGGUGAACGGCCACAUUGGGACUGAGACACGGCCCAAACUCCUACGGGAGGCAGCAGUGGGGAAUAUUGGACAAUGGGGGGAACCCUGAUCCAGCGACGCCGCGUGAGUGAAGAAGUAUUUCGGUAUGUAAAGCUCUAUCAGCAGGGAAGAAAAUGACGGUACCUGACUAAGAAGCCCCGGCUAACUACGUGCCAGCAGCCGCGGUAAUACGUAGGGGGCAAGCGUUAUCCGGAUUUACUGGGUGUAAAGGGAGCGCAGACGGCGAAGCAAGUCUGAAGUGAAAUACAUGGGCUCAACCCAUGAAUUGCUUUGGAAACUGUUUGGCUUGAGUGUCGGAGGGGUAAGCGGAAUUCCUAGUGUAGCGGUGAAAUGGCUCAGAUAUCAGGAGGAAUA